Oncorhynchus keta (chum salmon) is the source of this 1728-nucleotide long non-coding RNA. RefSeq lists it as uncharacterized. The record is from RefSeq and is a predicted model, not a curated record. The transcript is spliced from 2 exons. NCBI's taxonomy places the organism in Eukaryota, Metazoa, Chordata, Actinopteri, Salmoniformes, Salmonidae.
CACACACACACAGUCUGAGCAUUUAGUAACCCUUUCUUUGCGUGGGCUGCGUCUCCAUGCACCGAUGUCAGCCUUCCGCAUGUGGUUACAGUGUUUGUCAGACCAGGACCCAUCCUGAAAAUCGGCCUUCUAAUGAAAUGUCUGUACUGUCCGUUGUGUCUGUUGGGGCUAUAAACGAAUGACAUCACCAUCGAAAGCAGAGACAAUCACAAACACGUUGUUUUGCCCUACUCACCCACAAGCCUCAUAAAGCUCGUGUGAAACGAACCCGGAACCAGUUAAAAUAUCAGUGGCAGUACUUCAGUGCAGUAAAUAUUAAUGGCAGUACUUCAGUGCAGUAAAUAUUAAUGGCAGUACUUCAGUGCAGUAAAUAUUAUUGGCAGUACUUCAGUGCAGUAAAUAUUAUUGGCAGUACUUCAGUGCAGUAAAUAUUAAUGGCAGUACUUCAGUGCAGUAAAUAUUAUUGGCAGUACGUCAGUGCAGUAAAUAUUAAUGGCAGUACUUCAGUGCAGUAAAUAUUAAUGGCAGUACUUUAGUGCAGUAAAUAUUAUUGGCAGUACUUCAGUGCAGUAAGUAUUAAUGGCAGUACUUCAGUGCAGUUUUUCCUAGCCACCGUGCUUCUACACCUGCAUUGCUUGCUGUUUGGGGUUUUAGGCUGGGUUUCUGUACAGCACUUUGAGAUAUCAGCUGAUGUACGAAGGGCUAUAUAAAUAAAAUUUCAUUGAUUGAUUGAUUGAGUACUUCAGUACCAAUGUAAAAAAGGGGUUAAAGCUGCAAUAUCGAUCUUUUUGGGCAUCCUGACGAAAUUCACAUAGAAGUGUGACUUAUAUAGAUCUAUAUUCUCAUUGAAAGCAAGUCUAAGAAGCUCGGCAGGCAGCCCAGGUGUUAGAGUGUAGGGGCGGCAGGUAGCCCAGGGGUUAGAGUGUCGGGGCGGCAGGUAGCCCAGGGGUUAGAGUGUAGGGGUGGCAGGUAGCCCAGGGAUUAGAGUGUAGGGGCGGCAGGUAGCCCAGGGAUUAGAGUGUAGGGGCGGCAGGUAGCCCAGGGGUUAGAUUGUAGGUGCGGCAGGUAGCCCAGGGAUUAGAGUGUAGGGGCGGCAGGUAGCCCAUGGAUUAGAGUGUAGGGGCGGCAGGUAGCCCAGGGGUUAGAGUGUAGGGGCGGCAGGUAGCCCAGGUGUUAGAGUGUAAGGGUGGCAGGUAGCCCAGGGGUUAGAGUGUAGGGGUGGCAGGUAGCCCAGGGAUUAGAGUGUAGGGGUGGCAGGUAGCCCAGGGGUUAGAGUGUCGGGGUGGCAGGUAGCCCAGGGAUUAGAGUGUAGGGGCGGCAGGUAGCCCAGGGAUUAGAGUGUAGGGGCCGCAGGUAGCCCAGGGGUUAGAGUGUCGGGGUGGCAGGUAGCCCAGGGGUUAGAGUGUCGGGGUGGCAGGUAGCCCAGGGGUUAGAGUGUAGGGGUGGCAGGUAGCCCAGGGGUUAGAGUGUAGGGGUGGCAGGUAGCCCAGGGAUUAGAGUGUAGGGGUGGCAGGUAGCCCAGGGAUUAGAGUGUAGGGGUGGCAGGUAGCCCAGGGAUUAGAGUGUAGGGGUGGCAGGUAGCCCAGGGAUUAGAGUGUAGGGGUGGCAGGUAGCCCAGGGAUUAGAGUGUAGGGGUGGCAGGUAACCCCGGGAUUAGAGUGUAGGGGCGGCAGGUAGCCCAGUGGUUAGAGCGUUGUGCCAGUAACCAAAAGGUUGCUGGAUCAAAUC